Molecule: ribosomal RNA, 874 nt
Filed under: Escherichia coli
Lineage: Bacteria; Pseudomonadati; Pseudomonadota; Gammaproteobacteria; Enterobacterales; Enterobacteriaceae
Description: partial 23S ribosomal RNA
Rfam family: Bacterial large subunit ribosomal RNA
Source: RNAcentral
UGAAUCAGUAUGUGUGUUAGUGGAAGCGUCUGGAAAGGCGCGCGAUACAGGGUGACAGCCCCGUACACAAAAAUGCACAUAUUGUGAGCUCGAUGAGUAGGGCGGGACACGUGGUAUCCUGUCUGAAUAUGGGGGGACCAUCCUCCAAGGCUAAAUACUCCUGACUGACCGAUAGUGAACCAGUACCGUGAGGGAAAGGCGAAAAGAACCCCGGCGAGGGGAGUGAAAAAGAACCUGAAACCGUGUACGUACAAGCAGUGGGAGCACGCUUAGGCGUGUGACUGCGUACCUUUUGUAUAAUGGGUCAGCGACUUAUAUUCUGUAGCAAGGUUAACCGAAUAGGGGAGCCGAAGGGAAACCGAGUCUUAACUGGGCGUUAAGUUGCAGGGUAUAGACCCGAAACCCGGUGAUCUAGCCAUGGGCAGGUUGAAGGUUGGGUAACACUAACUGGAGGACCGAACCGACUAAUGUUGAAAAAUUAGCGGAUGACUUGUGGCUGGGGGUGAAAGGCCAAUCAAACCGGGAGAUAGCUGGUUCUCCCCGAAAGCUAUUUAGGUAGCGCCUCGUGAAUUCAUCUCCGGGGGUAGAGCACUGUUUCGGCAAGGGGGUCAUCCCGACUUACCAACCCGAUGCAAACUGCGAAUACCGGAGAAUGUUAUCACGGGAGACACACGGCGGGUGCUAACGUCCGUCGUGAAGAGGGAAACAACCCAGACCGCCAGCUAAGGUCCCAAAGUCAUGGUUAAGUGGGAAACGAUGUGGGAAGGCCCAGACAGCCAGGAUGUUGGCUUAGAAGCAGCCAUCAUUUAAAGAAAGCGUAAUAGCUCACUGGUCGAGUCGGCCUGCGCGGAAGAUGUAACGGGGCUAAACCAUG